RNAcentral lists this long non-coding RNA (1616 nucleotides) under Numida meleagris (helmeted guineafowl). Its description in RNAcentral is "lncRNA (ENSNMEG00000010875.1)". The record is from RNAcentral. Lineage: Eukaryota; Metazoa; Chordata; Aves; Galliformes; Numididae.
UUAAAUACAUAUGUAUAUCUUACAGCCUUUCAAAAAGUAACUCUGCAAACAAAAUAUCCAGAAGUAGAGGAAGACUCUUAAUUCAGAAAGUCCUCAUUUAAGGUGUUAGUGAGUAUGCCCGUAAGAGCUAGAAUGCAUUCAACUUCUGGCCCAAUGGGUAUCUCCCUGUUUUAGUGUUUCCCGGGGCUCUCCCAGGACUCAGCAGAAGCCAGGUACCAGUUGGUUCUGGCCAACUUUGCUGCAAUAGCUGCAGAUGUCCCUGUCCCCUGCCCUUUCUGCUGGCUCCUCUGCCCCUGUCCAGAACGUGCUGAGCCAAAGAGAAGGUGAUGGGGGGGGGACUGAGGCACAGGUUUCUUCAGCCACUUAUGAAGAUGAGUUUGAGCAGACCCACCAGCUUGGGAGCUGUCAUGAAUUCACUGCAGGAACCACUCCAGCACUGAAGGAGGACUCCAGCCAGCAGCAGAGGAGCACUAGCACGCAGCUGGAAGAGACUAGUGUUAACUCCUUGUGCUUGGAGGUAGCAGAAGGAUGUGGAGGAGGAGGAUGGAUGCAUUGCCCUGCACUUCUUAUACUGGAAGAAGAAUACAGGAUGAAGCAUGGUAUUUUUCUCUCCUGAGCUGACACCCAGAAGAAUAUCCCCAGGCUGCUGUGUGAACAGACAUGGAAACAGUCUGCUAACUGCUGUCCAUGGCAGAGGGAUGCCUGCAGACUUCAUGCCAGCAAACCCUACCAGCCCAUGGUGCUCAGUGCUGGGCAGAAAGCCCCACGAGCCCUUUGCCAGAUCCUGUGCAGGAAACCUGAGGCAUCGUUUUGGGAGCAUUUGCAGCUCUUGCAGCUUCUGGAUCACUGCCUGAUAUCCUAGACUCAAGCUACCUAUGGCUAACUGUGCUGCUGAGUGUUCAGAGGAAAGAACCUGAUGGAAACCAGCCCAGCUCCAUCAGGGGUUGCUGAGCAUACACUUAGUGCACCUCAUUUAUGUUAAGCCUUAUUUUUUCCUUGGAAGUGCUUUGAAGCAAGAUGCUCCCCAGGCUCCAGCAGCAAACUGCCCCAGGUGGCUGUGUCAGGGGCUCUGAGAGCACCUUCCAGUGCACCCCAAAGGCCUCUGAUCCCACUCAGCUCUCAGCCCCCAGCUCUGCACCCCAUGCACCAACACUGGGUGAUGCAAUACUAAGUAACAUAGGACACAGUGUGCAUGGAUCCUCACCACCAACUCAGUGGAGCUAAAAGGUCUAAUAAUUUCAUACCAAGCGAAGCCUAUAGAAACAUUCCCAAAGAUUAGAAAGUCAAGCUUCAAAGGAAGCCACGAAACGCUUCGUUAAAGCUGAGUAUUUUAAGUGAGCAGUGGUCAUGAAAAGCAACAGAACAAUCUGAGCUCGGAGCAUUGCCACUGCAAAAUGCAUGCUGUGGGACAGCAGUGUCAUGAGCACUGUCUCCCAGACUCUGCAGUAUAAACCAAGUGGAUUUAUUCCUGGCUCUGUAUCCAGCUGUUCUGCUCCAGCCCUGUCCCAGCUCCGACCUGCGGCAGUGCCCACAGUGCUGCUCCUGCACAGCCUCAGUCCUCUCCUCCAGCACGGAUCUGCGGCUCAGCUCUUAAAAGCUGUUUCAUAAAUAUUCCA